Molecule: transfer-messenger RNA, 391 nt
Filed under: Candidatus Endomicrobiellum cubanum
Lineage: Bacteria; Pseudomonadati; Elusimicrobiota; Endomicrobiia; Endomicrobiales; Endomicrobiaceae
Rfam family: transfer-messenger RNA
About the family: Bacterial tmRNA, also known as 10Sa RNA or SsrA, is named for its dual tRNA and mRNA-like properties. Its role is to liberate the mRNA from a stalled ribosome.
Source: RNAcentral
GGGGGUGAACAGGGUUCGACGGGAAUGUGAUAAGUAAUGACAGCAGGCCGGAGUUGGUCGAUGGCUCCGUAAAAAUCGACCGAAAAUAAACAACGAUAAAAUCGUUCCAAUGCAAAGCGUUAGACCUUUUAUGGGUUUAGGCGCAAUGCCAAUAGCUGCUUAAUGUAGCUACGUUUUACCUUUGACACCUGCUAUUAGGAUAAAACGACAAGAGCAGGUUAGCUUUAAAUGGCUUGUACCGUCACUUUAAAGCAAAAUUAAAACGGUACUGGUUUAUAGCAUAGUUCUGUUCGGAAAUAGCGCUAUAAACAAGAUAUAAUUCCGAACUAAGCCUGUAGGGGUCUUAUUUAGCCAUUUUCGGACGCGGGUUCAAUUCCCGCCACCUCCACCA